UUAUACUGUUCCCAAAUUUACUGCAACCAUUACAAGGACAAAUUGUCUGUUGAAGAUGAAUGAAUGCAUGUCCACACAAUGAUGCCACCCAUGAAACAUGUAUGAUCCACUUCACCCUAAACCAUCGUUUAACCCCCAUUUGACAACGUAAUCCGUAUGACUGUCUGCUAUUCAAAUAAAAAAAAAUGUAAGGGCUAUAUUAGUUUGGGCCACCUAACAGCUACAGGGUCCAUGAUUUGAUCCUGAGCUCAGGAGCUCUGUGUGAAGUCUCUGUGUUCCUCUUGUUGUGUAGGUUUCCUCGUGUUAUCUGGUUUCUUCCAACUGUCCAAACACAUGCCAAUAGGUGGAUUGGCUAUGCUGAAUUGUCCCUUGCUGUGAAUGAGUGUGUGAAUGUAUGUGGCAUCCAGUAUGUAUCCGCUCCUCACGCCCAUGUGCAUUCCUGGAACAGAUUCUGGAUCCACUGCAACCCAGAUCAGGAAGAUUAUAUAUAAUGGUUAUUAAAGGAGUUAUAUCAUGGUUUUUAAAUGUUUUUAAAUGUUCAGUUUUUUUGUUUACUGGGUGUAAUAGAAUAGGUUAACAUGCUUUAAUGAAAAAAAUGUGUUAUUUGUCAUAUAAUGUACAUUAUUGUAGUACCUCUACUCCCAGGCUGCCUGAAACGCUCCGAUUUCUCCAAAGCCCCUCCUUCCGAAAAGAGUGCUCUGAUUGACCAGCUGACCAGUUGUGUUGUGAUUGGCAAAAAACCUUAAGUAUGUGUCAGAAAUGUAACGCCCUUGGGUCAGCCUCCAAGGCUUCUAAAGAAAUUCUAAGCUCCUAAGCAACAUGUCGUCGGUUUUAUUGAAUCAGUUUGAGCCCGAGUCCAAUUCAGACAAAGCGGAUGAUCAUCGAAAUUAACUUUGCAAACAUGACUUGAGCAGAAUGUUUCAAAGUGGCAAGUUUUUAUUUUGUAACUCAUUCACCUUUCAGAUACAAUGUAAAUUCCGACGUCCAGCCAUCGGGCAGUCUAUGCUGUGUACACGGCUCCUGUGUGUACAUAGGUACUUGCGCGAUAUAUCUUUGUAUAACUAAGAUUCUUGUGAUUCGACUGAUAUAAACCGUUUUCAAUCACAACAGCAUCUACAAUCAACACCUCUGUCAGACCAUCAACAUACAAACAAACACUUACUGUACAAUACUGAGGCAACUUAGCAAACUUUAACUAGCAUGUUAGCAGAGGUGUACAGCUGAGCCACAAUCCAAAAUGCCACAUUUGAACAGUCAAUAGCAGAUACUUCAUAUUUAAUACUUUUUUCAUGUGUCAUUCCACUUUAUUACACAUAACUUUAUUUAUGGACUUUAAUGUUGUGAAAUCUUUAUAUUUCCAGAUUUCUUGAGUUAAUACUGAUGUCUGGUGAAAAUUUUAUGUGAAUAGCCUCAUUCAAAAUAUAUUUGCUGAAAAAAAUGUUGACGCACACAAUACUUAUUUCCCCCCACUAUAAGUAAGGAUUGUGUGUCCCUGUUUAAUUAAUUUUAAAAAAUGCAGUUAUAGGAAUAUAAUCAAUUUUGGAGUGGUAACAGAGCUCCAUCUCUCAAAAUCACUAAAUUGUGUUUUAUUCCUUCAUUGAUGUGCAAUGCCGGGUGAGACGGAUGCAAAUGCAAUAAAAGCUUUUAUUGACAGAGCAGACAGACAAUGCGAUAACAAAAGGGUGUGGGUCAAACGAGUGAUGAUCUAAUAGUAAUUUUUUAACUAGUAUGGGCAGCAAAUGCAACAAAUAAAUGUGUAAGAGGAAAAAAAUGAAAAAAGGCAACAAGGUACAGGUUCCAAUAUCAGUAAAUUAUUAAAUUAUUAAAAAUACAGGAUGUCCCAAAGGUCUCCAUACAUAGGGGAAAAUAAAACUUGCUAGCAAAAUGACUUCCAAAAUUUUUCAUACUUACCUUUGAAAAUGAAGAACAUUCUUUGAAGAAUGUUCUUCAAAGCCCUGCAUCACAUGUAUCAGUUCAACAAAAAGAGCAAACAUCAGAUAAAACACCGGGGCCAGUUUAUCUUCUAAAUCUGUCACCACAAACCAAAACAUUCUUGCACAUCAUCAUUUACUGUAACAUACAGUACUGCAUAUACAGUAGUCACAGCAGUUUAUAUACAAUUCUGUUGAGUUAAUUUUCCAUAAUUAUACAUAGGACAAUAUAAAAAAAAAAGUUAGUUUCAAGUUAUCAGACUUACCCUGGGUCAUGUCAAAGAGGAAAUAAAAUAAAAUUAAACCCAUUUUCUUCCAGAGUUCCAUGUUAGAUCGAGUCAUUUUCAUACCCAGGAGUGUGUGUGCCUCUGUGUCUGUGUGAAUAUGCAUGAGUGUGAACAAACACUGGUAGUUCCUUUCUACCGCCCCGCUGCAGUUUCAUUACCAAGUCCCACCUCUGGCUUCCUUAACAAUUGUUGGGUUGCCUGGCUGGGUGUAUUGUUUUAAACUUGAGCUAUUUUUAUAUGACAGGGGAUAGGAUAAACAGCAAUUAACUGUGUUACAUAAUCUGGAAGUGAUAAUCUGGGCUGGAAUAUAGAUAAACUUUUGAAAUUUAAAACUAUGAAUGGGUUGUAAUCUGACAGUCCAAAAAAAUUUUUUCUUUUUAAAACUGAACUGAUUACAGUUUAACUUCUGCAUUAUAUUGUAAACAUUGAUGUAUAUAGAUUUCCUAAGUAAAACAUACUGUAGCAGCAUGUGACACUUCCUACAAAGUUUCAUUAAGGUUGAUUUUAACAAAUGAAAGAGAGAGAGAGAGAGAGAGAGAGAGAGAGAGAGAGAGAGAGAGAGAGAGAGAGAGAGAGUCAAUGUGUCUUACUUAUACAUACAUUCCUGCAAGCUGUAAGGUGCAACCUACAUUGAUUGGACUUGUUUGUCCAGCACAUCCCAGAGAUGCUCGAUUGGAUUGGGAUCUGUGGAAUUUGGAGGCUGAAGUCAACACCUCAAACUCUUUGUCAUGUUCCUCAAACCAUUCCUGAACAAUUGUUGCAGUGUAGCAGGGUGCAUUGCCCUGCUUAAAGAGGUCACUGCCAUUAGUGAAUACCGUUGUCAUGAAGAGGUGUAUUUAGUCUGCAACAAGGUAUGUGGUACGUGUAAAACUAACAACCACAUUAAUGCCAGGACCCAAGGUUUCCCAGCAGAACAUUGCACAGAACAUUACACUGCCUCUGCUGGCGUGCCUUCUUCCCAUAAUGCAUUCUGGUGUCAUCUCUUGAGACUUGAGUGCAAAUCUGUUUGUUGCAAUCUUGUGGUUUUUAUGUGGGACCAUCCACAGCAAUCUCAAUGAUCUUUAGGCUUACUAUGUGGGGCCAUCCUCAGCAGCAGCAGAGACAAAAGUAGUUUUACUUGUAACUGAGUAAAUUUAUUUCGGCUACUUUACCCUACUCUGCAGUUUUUUACAAUGACUGCAAUAUGUGUAAGAAGUAUGAGCAAGAACUACAUUAUGCAUGAUGAGUAACACUUAGUGAAAAAUUAGAAUUUGAGCAAUAACUAACACGUGAAGUGCAGGUGGAUUGGGAACAUACAUGGGGAGUUUAGGAUGUGAACACUAAUCUUUUGUUGCAUGUCUAUGUGUUUAAUAUAUUUACUGUCACCUCCUACAGUAUUGGGCAAUUCAACACAUUCUACAGUAUAGACUCCUGAUGUGGAUGUAAUCAAUUCAAUUCAAUUUUAUUUGUAUAGCGCUUUUUACAAUAGACAUUGUCUCAAAGCAGCUUUACAGAAACAUAUAAACACGGUAUACAGAUUUUAAAUGUGCUAAUUUAUCCCAAUUGAGCAAGACGGGGCGACGGUGGCAAGGACAAACUCCCUAAGGUGAUAAGAGGAAGAAUCCUUGAGAGGACCCAGACUCAGAAGGGAACCCAUCCUCAUCUGGGUAGCAACAGAUAGUGUAAAAAAGAUUUAUAUGAAGUCUGUUUGGCCUUAGAAGCAACCGUAGUCCCAGCAAUCUGGAAUUGGAGUAGAUGAGAGCUCCAUCCAGAGGUAGGACAUCUGAAACGGAUCAGGCAGGUCCGGAGAGAAGAAAGGAUCAGGAUCUCUAGUAUCUCCAUAAAAUCGUGUGUGGCUCGACAGAAGGAGAGAGGGAGAGAAGAGAUUGUUAGGACUGUGCUUAGCGUAACAAAGUCUACUCAAGGUAGGCUUGAGUAAACAAAUACGUUUUAAGCCUAGACUUAAACACUGAGACUGUGUCUGAGUCCCAAACAUUAAUUGGAAGGCUGUUCCAUAACUGUGGGGCUCUAUAAGAGAAAGCUCUUCCCCCUGCUGUAGGCUUCGCUCUUCAAGGUACCGGAUCAUAGAAAACAAAAAGGUCGCUUAAAGUCUGUAAAGUCUGUGAGAUUCAGUUGAAGGCUUGAAUUGAACUCAUUUAAUUCAUAUUGGACUAUGUAUUUAUUUAUUCACUUAUUCUGCACUCAUUUAUUAUUCACUAAAGGAUUAUCAGUAAGCAUGAUCAUUUAUACAGUAGAUCAGAUUAUAUUUCUGAGAUCAUAAAAUUCAUCACCUUUAUUAAGUCUUACAAAGAAGAGCUACAGAAGAGAUUGAGUUUAAUUGCAGCUGAGAACUCAUUUCAGUGACUUUGUUUUUAAACUAAAAUAAGGAUUAAAAACUCCUUUAUUUUAGGGUCAUGGAUGACUGCACCAAGGAAGUCAUGAACCAUUGAUGGGAAAAAUGAUACUAUCUCAUCUCACAUGACAUUGGUGUGUACAAAUUUGUUGUGUACAAAUGGUGUGUACCGGUUUAUUACACUUAUGACAUGACGGUAGUAAGAUUAAUAAGAAAUUAUUUGGUGUUAUAAUAAGAUAAUGUGAAUGUGAUCUGAUGAUCUGAAGGUUUGACUGUCUGCCAGAGACUAAAUUCUCAAGACUCUAAACAGUAAAGAAUGUCUCGGGAGACUUAGUAAAUCUUGUCAGGAAGCAAAAAAAAAAGUGUAGAGAAGACAAACAAAGGUGGUGAUCUUAACAUUAUCUAACCAUGCAAGCACCUGUCAGUAGCUCGGUAACAUUAUAUAAUCACUUGCUCAUCCCUUUGAUUCAUCUCACAAGCUUGAGAUAACUGGUUUGGGUACAUUCUUGUGUCAGUGACAUGGUUUACUAACUCAAAGCUUUCAAGUGUGCAGAAGGUGUUGACGUUCCUUUACAACGUCAAUGUCAUUAGAAGUAUGCAGGCCAAGACUGUAUUUGAAAUUCAGAGUUGUGUUACACUCACAGUGAGGAUUUAAGACAGAAACUGAGCACAUCAGUAUUCAGUCCUCAGAUAUAACUCCACGAGAGUUAUGCACACUGUGCAGAGUUGGAAAAAACAGAGCCUGUGGAUUAACCACAAUAUUACUAUUUAGCGAGUAAAACUGCAAUUUCCUCAUAUCUAACAUUAUUAGGCUAUACAGCUGAACAUAUUUUUGUUACAAUUCAUUGUGAAAGUCAUUGGAUAUUUUAAAGAGAAAUCUUAAUAUAAAAUGAAACCUUUCCAUAAGCAAUAAGCACUGUCAUGUCACUGUCACUGUCAUGUCUUCAGAAAGCCAGGUCUAUCUAUCUAGCAGUUGUAACAUAAUGUAAAAUGAAGCUAAUGGCCAGCAUUGAUUGUGACUAGUUAGUUAGCUAGCUGUGACAGACAGUAGACCUACACUUGAUUAGCCAAGAACAGAGAGUGAGAAUACAAAAACAGGGCAGACAGACAAAACAAAAUCCAAUAUUAUGUUAGUGAUUUUGCAGUAUUGUGCUGCCAUGAUUUGAUCUUUUAGUUUAACUGUAGAUUGUAGUUACAUGUAGCAUAAUGCACCUCAAACUUUUCUUCUGAGAUACACACCCCAUGCUAAAACUGGGUAAAACUAGUCCGUACAGGACUUUAUGAAGUUUAUAUAUAACACUUUAUAAUACAGAUCCGUCAUUAAUGAUUAACUACACAGGAAGAAAUGGAUGAUGCAAUAUUAAACGUUCUAGUAACUAAUAUUAACUAACUAGAGACUUUGAUUAACAAAUUAGUAAGCAAUAAUACACAGAUGAAUGCGGUAGUUCACUGUUAGCUAUUCAAUAAGUACUAUUCCUUUCAUGCCUCAUGGAGAACUACUAAGAAACUACAUACAGUUUCAUAAUUUAUGCGAAACUGCUACAAUUAACGAAUAGACAAGAUUGUUUACAUAAUCAAUAGGUAAUAGCAGACUUAUGACUUGGGUAAGCUGUUUGUGAGGGACUAGGGCAGUGAAGGCACAAGUGACACAGAUCUGUUCUUUUAGAAUAAUGUAUUAUAUAUUAUAUUCAGUUACAUCUCUAGGGAAUGCAUAAGUAGCUUUGCAUAAAAUCAUUUUAUAAAAAAUUGUUAAAUGACUCUGCACACUUUUUCUCUAUGAAGGACAGCUCUACUGUUAAACACUUUUUUGAUUCAUUUUUUAUAUCUAUAUAGUCACCUAAGUGAUCCCAUAACCACACUUUUUUCUUUGUGUCAGUCUCCAUCAUGGUAAAUGUACCACAGCUCAAUUAGCUUCCCUAUGCAUUCAUCUGCUUAGGAAUACUCCUGCUCAUGACUGUGGUGCUGAUCUCUUCUCUGAGCAAAUGCAGAUGUGCGUGUGAGUGAAAUUAAGCCAUUCUGUCAUUUCCUGCUAUACUGAUGAUGCAUUAUUACAGUAAUACUGUAGGUAUGUUUUGUUCUUGAACAGUCAUUAUUUUUUCAAAUGCCUUUUUUUUUUUUUUUUUUAGGACAAACCAAAAUUGCCAGUCACAAAACGGAAGUAAGCAAAUAUACAACUAAUUUUUAUAUUUAGGUUAGCUACAUAUGCUAUAACCUUGCAUUUCUUCUCCAGUAAAACACUGUGCUAUUCACCCUGACUACAAGCAGUCCUGAUAUUUGAACAUGUGAUGCCUGAACGCUUCAGGGCCCACUGAAAAAAGUAGUCUUGAGAAACAAAUAUAGUGGCACAGGAUGAUUUAAAAUUGCUAAUGAUUAUCUACUUUUAUCCUCUCUACAUUUAGAUCAUUAAAAGCUGUUUUUAGAUAGGAAGAAUCAAGACACGCUUGUUUUUCGCCACUGCAUUGCAUUACUGCUGACAAUGCUUCACUUGUAGUUUUCCUUCCAUUAUCACACAUAACUGUUUGCACAUAAUUCUCACUGAUGUGGUAAAUCUUACUUUAGCUCUAAGGCAUCCAGCACAGACGCCUCCAGGAUGUGGUCUGAAGUGUGCAAAUGCUUACUGCAUGAGUGAUAAUUGUAAAACAGCACAAAAAAAUAAAUAUAUAACAAAAUAUGUAGCCUACAACUUAAUACAUAGAUUUUACAAUAGCAUGGUAUUAGAUUAGUUGUUUAGGAAUAUAUUGGAAUAUUUUUUUAACAGACCUGUCCAUACUUAAAUAAACAAAUACUGUUUAUUCUUUAGUUUGUUCUGUAAAAAGCAGGCUAACCAAUUAUUUUGUACAACAUUUCAUGGUAUAUGACGACAAAAAAUUAACACUGAAAAUAAACAGAUGAUGUGCAUAUGAAAGCAUUUUUAUAACGUGGAAUGAUGUAGCAUAAAUCCAGGCCUGCUCUAAAACUUAUAUACUUAAGUAUACUAUACAAAACAAAACUAUACAAAACAGCCUUCCGUUGCCCCUGUCCCAACCUUUUUGAGAUGUGUUGCGGCCAUCAAAUUCAAAAUAACUUUUUUUUUUUUUUUUAAAUGGUACAUUUACUCAGUUUAAACAUUUGAUAUGUUUUCUAUGUUCUAUUGCAUUCUGUUUUUAUUGAGAUUUUACACAGCAUGACAUUUUUUAAAAUUGGGGUUGUAUAAUAAACAUGCUAUAUUAUGAGAUCCUCAGUGAUGUGAAUUAGGAAUCAGAGGAUUUUGAAAAUAUUGACACUCUCUACUGCAGCUCUGUUUAUGGUGAAGCAUGUGUGUGAUCCUGUGUUUUCUGUAGUCCACAAUUAGUUCCUUGGUCUUGUCCACAUUCAAGGAAAUGUUGUUUUCCUUGCACUACAGUUAUCGGGUUCUAACUUCCUCUCUUUAAGCCUCCUCAUUGAUGUUGGAGAUGGAGAUCAGGCCUAUAGCUAUUGUGUUGUUUGCAAAUUUGAGGUGGAGUGUACAUUGAAUAGAGGAGAGGGAGUAACACACAUAUUUGUAUUCCGAAUUCAUCCUGCUGCUUUUGUUACUGGUCACAUCAUUUAUAAAUACAAAGGAACCAAACCCAUUAGCAGUUGUGCACACCCACACCAUAAAAUGAGGUAGAAUGAUUCAGAUCAUGAGCAGCUCCUUCCCUUCACUGAACUCUUCACUUAUUAUCAUCCUGGUAAAUGUUGAUCUUUGUUUCAUUUGUCCAUGGAUGCUGUUUCAGAAUUGUACAGGUUUUUUUUUUUUUUUUUUUUUAUAACAUUUUUUUGCGUACUCAGCUCUUACCUGGUCUUCCUGUUUUUGAGGCCAGCCAACGAUCAAAUCUUGUGGUAAACCCUCUGUAUUUACUCUGGUGAAAGCUUCUCUUGACUGUUGACUUUGACCCAGAUACAUGUAGCUUCUAGAGCAGGGGUGCCCAAUAUGUCGAUCGCAAAAGAAAGUGCGGGUAGAUCGCCAUUCAAAAAAAAAAAAAAUAGAUGUUAGCGUUGAUGUACAGAGAAGCCAGUCUGAGAUCUCGUCUUUUCUCUCACCACAUGUGUGCGAUCAAACGCGCCAACGCUAAAGGCUAGCGAGCGAAAUCGUAGGGAGAGGACAUUUUUCAGUCUUUUAAAGACUUCAUUGACAAAACCCAGCUCCCAGUGUGCAAAUUGAUAUCAGUCACCACGGACGGUGCGCCUGCAAUGGUUGGCAGUGCAAAUGGAUUCAUUGCCUGUGUAAAAUGUAAAUAAAUACAAAUAAAUACAGGAUGCAGUGAUUUGCAAAUCUUGCAAACCCAUAUGUUAUUUACAAUAGAACAUAAAAACAUAUCAAAUGUUUAAAUUGAGUAAAUGUACGAUGUUAAGAAAAAAUAAGGUCAUUUUGAAUUUGAUGGCCGCAACUAUGGUAUCAAUAUUCCGUCAAAAGUAUUGCGGAUCGAAAAAUAAGCGUGAAUCAAACAUUUAAAAGCACAUGCGAAAUUGUAUUGCACAAAAGUGAAACGCACACAAAAUCGUUUUCCUUGGUUAUAUUGCCACGUUUUUUGUGCUCUCUGACAUUUUCUGCUCGUUUUCUUUUUCUGAACGCUUGCGCUGUUUGUCCCUUCGCGCUUGUUUCCACAUCUUCCGCUUGAUUUUCCAAAUGUUGCGGUCCGAGUUUCAUGUAAAUGAGGGUGAGCUUUAGAGUCACCAUUGGUCCUCCUCUAGCCAAUCAAUCGAAGAGGAGAACUGACGCUUAUUUUUGAUCCGUGACCGCAAUACUUUUGACGGAAAAUCAUCCCAUACGCAACAUGUCUCAAAAAAGUUAGAACGCUUUUGACAUGGACAUUUGUGUCCUUUAUGAACCUGAGUGGUAGGUUUAUUUUUUUUUAAAUCUGACACUACAUAAAAUAUAUGAAUGCAUAAAAAAUUAAUGUUGUUAAUUAUUGACAUAUCAAAGACUGUAAUAAUCAGAAAAAUCUUUAUUAUAAAAAAACAAACAUCUGUGGCAUUAUGUAAACAAACCAGCAUUUAAAAGGGUUACAAUUCUGAAAAUGAAUGAAUGCCC
Ictalurus punctatus (channel catfish) is the source of this 9582-nucleotide long non-coding RNA. Lineage: Eukaryota; Metazoa; Chordata; Actinopteri; Siluriformes; Ictaluridae. The record is from Ensembl.